Long non-coding RNA from Dermacentor andersoni, 7735 nucleotides. RefSeq lists it as uncharacterized. The record is from RefSeq and is a predicted model, not a curated record. Lineage: Eukaryota; Metazoa; Arthropoda; Arachnida; Ixodida; Ixodidae.
CUUCGAAGCAAGCGCGCUUCUCUCCUAUCCCCCGAGCCGAGAAGUUGCUUACCUCACCGUUCGCCAGAUGACGCAACCUGUCAGAUCAGCAGCUUGGCUCCCGUCUGCAAAAUCUGUGCUCGUAGCCGAAAGCAGUUUCUGCUUCAUUCUACAAAAUGCAGGCAAGUACCGAUGUUUAAAUUCAUCUCAAACAACUUAGACCAGAAUAUGCUCCCCUGUGAGCGAUGUUUGCUCUCGAUUAGACGAGUAGUUUGUGUACAAGAAUUUUUAUAGUCCACCGGCCAAAUACGGAAGACCCUGUAUAUGCGUGCAAGGAGGGACAUCCAGAUUGUUUUUUUUUUUUUUUUAGACGAAAGUUUUUGCUUCAGCGGUAAAAAUGCCAAGUGCGAGGGCCCGUUUAGUGUCUGCAUGUACACGGCCAUCUGCCGGGAGCUCUCAAGGGAUGCGCUGCGUCGCAAUGAAUACGUACUCUGACAGGAUCUGCUAAAUGUUCAUGUCACGCUAAACGCGUGGGCGAUAUUUCGCGACGCCUUUUUCUUAUUCUUAUAUUACUUAUAUUACAAGUGCAGCAUAUUCGUUGGGACUGCACUCGGUGCCUGGUUUUGUUUCUCGAUAUCCACUGACGUACCUGAAUUUCAUAUCAGAAAGAAGAAUGAAACAGGACAGGAGGCCAGGAAGAAGGAAAAGACACUCUACAAAGCUGGCUGAAGCGUGUGCUUCUGUUGACUUGUGCUAUGCAUUGCGUUGGUUAAGUAUUUGGUCAUCUUUUAUUGAUUCCUUUUGUUUAUUUUUUCCUUUUGGAGUUGAGUCGGCUAGUUCUCAUUUUCUUAUUUUAAAUAUUUUGUUCAGAUUACUGAGGCUGUUCUGACCUUCAGAAGACCACCUAAACAGGGCAUGCCUCUUGGAGACCCUCUUUCCUGCACGAUCGUUUACCUCUGAAAUUGUUUCUCUGCUGUGACACAAUUAGCAUUCCCACUAUGCUGGUGCCCUCAGCUGAUGGCUUCAUCCAAUUGAAUAAGCUCCAGGCCUUUUACGAGCAACUCCAUGCCAUGACACCUUGCUUGCAGGGUAUUGCUAAUGUCUGGCAGUUUGGUUGAGAUGUAGUAUAAUGUUCAUUCAGGUCGCCAGACUACACUUGUGCCAUGGACCUUGUAGAGUGUUCAUUCCUUGCCUUCAGUCCCAGUGAGUACUUAUAUUUCACCACACCUUUCAUGCACCAAAGGCCUUGUUCUCGAUGUUGACCCCUAGUUAAGCCCAUCUCAGACACUGGAGAAGCUCUCUGUGACAGCAGCAUUAUGCCGCUGUAGUCGAAUUGCAGACAUUGUGAGGUGCAGGUCCCUACAGAAUUGGUUACUUUGACAUUUUUGGAUGCAUCUUGUCUAGAGGUGGGCAAAUAUAGACUUCUUUGAAUGCAAAUUAAAUAUGAGUAGUAAGUAUAGACUAUGUAAUCAAAUAGUCAAAAGCUGACGCAUGUAUUCACAGCAGGAAUACUUAUCUAGGUAUAAUUAGAUACCAUGCGUCUACUGGCUAGUAUAAAAAAAAAGAAAAAAAGGAAAACAUUGCUAUCCAGGACAACAGGUCAGAUUUAAACACGCAAUCACUAAUUGUCAUAUAAAAAAUGGCACAAAUAGACUCUCCCCAGCUUUAGAGCCUGGUUGCAAGCAAACUUUCCAAGCUAAAAUGGCUGCUGUUUGACCAGCUUUCCAAAAAAAAAAAAAAAAAGGAACUGUUGAAAGACUUUUGUACCGAAGACACUUAUAAAAGGACUCGUUCCAAGGAAAACAUCACAGGUAGCGUGAAACAUAUAACUGCUACAUGACUAGACUGUCAAAGACUAAAUGACAGACUACAAGCGAAAACCACGGGUUGUCACAUAAACUUCCACCGCAAAACUGAAAACAAAGCUUCGUUUACCCGUUUUGUUUCGGCAUUACUUUGAAAACAUUGUCGUUGUCUCACUUUUCAUAAUUUGCAGUACUUUGUUAAGCAGAUGGAGAACAGUAACCAAACUUUAACAUUCGGUUGUUGCAAAAUAUUUAGUUAGUUUCGAAUAUGCGAAAAUACUGAAUAGUUCCUUUUAAAAUACAAAUUCAUAGUUAGUGUGUAAUAUUAAAUUUUUAUUUGAAGCUUCGAAUAUUUGCCCACCUUUAAUCUUGUCCAUCUAAAGUUCAAGCAUGGCACCUUGUUUUCAGGGUUGAGCCACUUGCUUUGUGCCCCCUACUGUGUUGAAAUAGCUGGCAGUUUUGUCACAGUGCUGCUGGUUGCAAAUCCAGUUUGAUCUGUUGUACCUGUGGUGAAGGACACUCUACUAGUGGUUGUAUUGCUCAAAAUGAGAAGUGUUGUCUCUGUCGAGGAUUGCACCCAGCUGUAUCCCGUUCAUGUGCAGCAAAUCCAGGUGUUAGAAAUAAGCAAUGGUGCCUCAGGAGGGACGCUGUUGUGACUGUUGAAAAGAGGGCUCAUGGAUGGGCUGGUCUCUGUGCAAAGCUUCUUUCACAGGUGCGACCAUUUCACCUGCACCCACUGUUGAAAAGGCAAUGGCAAAAGCUAUACAGCACCGAAUCGUCAGCGUCUCUGUAUGUCUAUCUCCCAUAGUAUGCUUACCAAUGGCUCUCCUGCUGCAGGCAACUUGAGAACAUAAAUUUGAAAGAUCCUGGAUAAAUCCUGGAUAAUGCGAAAACAAGCAAUGACAAUAAAGUCAGUGUGCCUUCAUCUGAUGACAGAUAUGAUAGCUAAUUUUUUUAUCAGGUCCAGACCAACUCCACACAUAAGACAUGUAGGACUCAAGAAGUGUUGAGCACGAUGCAUUGACUCUAGGCGAAAAUGUGGUCAGUCUCCCUUGAACAGUGCAUUGUCUUUGUCAUAUCAUUUGAAGUCUAAAAUGUUUCGGUCGAAUAAAAUAUUCAAGGAUUGCAUUAUGGAAAAGGUAGUUUCUACUGAAAUUCUCUCUUUGCUUUAUGGUGUUUAAAAGUGGUGCACUGCAACUGUCAUUCCUUAUUUUCAAGUUUCUACAGAUUUAUCUUGUCUUUCUGUUCAGCUGAUUCAUGAUAUAAUCAUUUAGAUGUAACUUAGCUUGCUCCUAAAAGAAAUUUUUGUUUCAAGAACGUUUGCUUUUUCGUUUAUAUGGUUUUCAGACGUGGUGUACCUGCACUUUUAUCAACUGAAGUUUGCCAUUAGGCAAAGAUAAAGUUGGAGCUUAUGUUACUGCAGUCCAAGAUUCUUGUGAUAGCUCUGUGACAUCUGGGAUAGCUUGUUAUCCAUUCUUAAUCAUAAAUGCCUGUUUUCUUUAAUGUAUUCAGGAUUCACGUCUCCUGGACAGCGUUAUUUUUACUUGCAGAAAUUGGUGUUACUUGCUGGAGAUAUUAAUUUCCCAUCGCUGGGCAUGGUGCUUAAGAAUUGUCUAGAUUCACAACUUCCUACUAUUGUUAGAGGUCAAGCUGCUUUUGUUUUGGAUCUGGUGUUUGCAGGCCCACAUCUCUGCAUGUCCUUUUUGACUAUGCCACCAGCACAGACAAUGUUUGAGUGUUUCUUGAUUAUUAUGCUUAGUAACUUCAUUGGGUAGUCAAGUGGGCACUUGUGUAUGCUACAGUGGAGUUCUAAAUUACCUUAUAUACGCAGUUUGCAUGUGUCUAAAAUCUAAGGUAUUAGGAUUUUGAGACAAAGAUGUUAAGUGUACCCAAAUCUAACACACACCCAUUCUUUUAAUCAGCAAAAAGAAAUGGCGUCUCCCUGAUUCUUGCAAUCAGAAAAAAAUGAAUGCGCAGAAUUAUAUUUUAAGAGAGCAAAAAUGUAUUUAUACUCAAUGUACAGAUUGUCCAGAUUGUCCAAUGUCCAGCGUUGUCCUGUCUGUUUCUACUUCUUGUGCUCGCGUCCGUACUUGCUGGAAACCAUUAUACGUUCACUCAAUGUACAUUCAUCAUCGUUAGUGUCAGCCAGCUUUUUGCCACUGUCAGUGAACCACAACAUGUUCUCUGUGCAUGGCGGCUGCAUUUCAAUGGGGGCGAAAUGUGAAAGACACCCGUCUACUUAGAUUUAGGUGCACAUUAAAGAGCCCCAGGUAGUCCUAAUUUCCGGCACUAUGCGUGCCUCAUAAUUAGGUUGUAGUUUUGGCAUGUAAAACACCAUAAUUAUUCAUUAAUGUUCUCUGUGCUAUCCAUUUCACGACCAUAAUGAGCAUGAUUCUGACCCAUGCCUCAAAUGACUACUGUGCAAGUUCAUCCAGCAAUGCAUGUGUGUCUGCAACUCCAAAAACAUAUGAUGCAGUUUUGUUUCAAUGUGUGCAAUAACUUUUCCUUUAUGAGCUUUGAUAAUGAAGUAAUGCGUCACUGUCAUUUACUUAUGUACAGGGAAACAUUGAAAGGUGUUCUGUUAACUUGCCAUGACAGUGGCAAUGACAUUGGCUGUGAUGGGAGGCUGUUGCCAACACUGCAAACAUUAUUUUGGUUUUUUAUCUAGUUGUGAUGCGCAGACAAUUGUUUGGAUAAUUUUUUUUUUAAAUAUAGGUGUGCGUUAGGAUUGAGUAAAUGUGCUAUUUGCAUUCGUCAUUGGCUUCCCUGUAUGAUGGAAACUCUAAGCAAUGAGCAUUUGUUCAAUCUUUAAUGAUGCCUGUAAAGAAAGCUAAAUGCUUCGUACAACAAUUUAUAAGUGAUUCCUCCUCUUCUUUGUACAACAACAUCUGCUUGCAUGACUACAGACAGAGAAAAGCUGCUUUGGAAAAAUUGCUUCAUAAUCAAACCUCGACAAACUGGAUUGACUAUAAAGUCAUUGCUGCUGCGUUUUGAUGCACUCUGUUUAAAGAAAAGGCUCUUAGGUGCCUGUUCCUGCAGUGAGCGUCGGCGCCGACAGCAUAACCAGGCAAACGAGCACAGCGAAACAUGAAAAAGCAAAUGCGGAGUGCAGUGCGGGAUCAAAGACACAAGGAGAAAAGCAGAGGAGGAGGAUAUAGUGAAAGGGUUCCGACCCCAGUUCGUGCAAAGAGUUGCGGCCAGUGGCCGGACCGUCGUUAACGUGUGGGGCGUAGUUACGAAGGAAGGCCUCGGCCCCCUCGUACGGAUUCAAGGAAAAUUCUGGGCUGAGAGGCACUGCGACAUUUUGAAAGAUGUAGCUUUGCCCUACCUCGCACGUGGCCCGUUUCCUGACAAAGACUACAUGUUUCAGCAUGACCGCUCGCCUGUGCAUACUGCCAAGAAAGUGGAAGCGCUACUACAGCAACACGGCGUGGCUGUCCUCCCCUGGCCACCUCAGUCACCCGACCUUAACGUGAUUGAAAACAUUUGGGGGAUGAUGAAGGUUGCUCUGGCACGCCAGUGUCUGCGCGGACUGUCUGCCGACGGCUUGUGGACUGCAGUGGAGUCCGAAUGGGAGCAGCUGAAGCGCGACAACAUUAAUCGAGGCGUUGUACCGAUCAUUCCCCGCACAAAUGAGCGCAGUCAUCGAAUCUGAAGGCGACGUUACACGCUACUAAGUGGAUGAAGAGCUCGUUAAGUCGCCUUAUUUGUUGUGAAUAAAUUAGAGAAAAGUCCCUCACAACCACGAUUUGCGAAGUAGUGUUAUUUUUUACUUAAAACGCAUUGAAAUAUUCUUGAUAGACGCACUUCACUUUCGAAGGCCUCUCGUUAUCGAAAUUACUACCCCUGUUUAAGGCGGAAAAAUAGAAAAAUAUUUCUUGCACACAGUAGUGAUUAAAAUAAAAUCUCGUUAAUUCGAAAUGUAAGGGAGUGGGAAAAAACGUCCGUAUUAUCCGAAGGUAGGAUUAUUGAAAGGUUCCGAAAAAUUGACGAAAACUGUUCGCGUGAAAGAUAAAUUUAUUUCAUGAAAAACUGCGCAAUGGCCAUUUCCUCUGAGGACAAAAACUGCGCGACAAUGACAAUUUUUUGCAAUUUCUUCGAAUUGUUCAAUUUGUGCACACUAUCCACAGUGUCGGAAGCAGAACUGAUCCAUCGUGGUAAAGGUUUCUGCAGCUACUUUCAGUAUAUGGUAGGUGCUCCAGCAGGAGCUUUUUUGCAAGUGGUUUCGCACUGGAGGCAGCUUUACCGCUCAAACGGCGAAGAGCACGUAGAAAGCCUGGAGUUUCGACUCGUCGGAACUGAAAUGCAGCGCUGAAGGGAAGUACGCAUUGGCUGUGAAGGGACAAGAUGCCUUCGAAAAACUUGAUGAAGAAGGAUCAGUGACCAGGCAAUAAUUGUUCUAAAUGGCUUGCAGCUACACGCUUCACUUGGUGUCCGAUAUGCGCGGGCGGUAGUCGCCGCCGCCGCGUGCUGCAUGACAGCGAUGCUCUGAAAACGAAAUUGUGUGGCCGAAUUCUUUCUCGGCCUAUCAACGGUGGUCUGAAAAUUUGCCAACACACCUGCAACUGCGCGAAAUGAUAGGGACGCAGGAAACAAUGCGUCAUGCAGUUCAGGGCAGAGAACGAAUAUUUGAGCCCACCAGGUUAAUACCUCGGCACGUACCACCAUAGGGAGUCCAUCUAAUAAAGAGAAUCCAGCUGCGGCGUGUCCGAAUAAACGAGUUUUCGAUGCAGUAGACUUGCAUAGGCAUUUGGCGGGACCUCGAAGGCAGUCGGAAUUAUCCGAAUAAACGGCGGUCGAAUUACCAAGGUUUUCGUGUAUUUCUGCGUCAUUAACCUGUCUCGUUGCCUGCAGCUGCACCGUUUGUCGUUCUGGAGUAUGAAUACCGUAACCAUGUCGGCCGUUGAUGUUGGACGACAGAUCAAAUGCAGUAAUAGCCCCGCCGCAGCUAAAGGAGGUGGCUUGCGUGGGUUCAGAACAGAAAGUGGACGAGAACUAGAGAUGUCUUUCCUGCAGAACUAUUGCAUCGCGGAAAAAGUGGCUCACAAGAAUCGGAAAUUUAAAAAAUAUAUUGCAGAAAUGCACGCCCAUUAUGUAGCUGCGAGGAAAAUCUGGUUUUUAUGUUUAGUUCUCCAGUCACGUUCCAGAGUUUCUGCCUGAGCUAGCCAAGCGCCAGAAGAGCGCCGUAGCAGACGAUGCGGGGCUGGCUCCACCUUCCGUGGUUACUGCGCAUGCGCCUGGUGUCGCCAAUUAUCGCCGCUUCUCAAAAGGGGCGCUUCGCGGAGCGUGGCGGCCACGCUGCGCGAGGUUCCCUUUAAAUCAGUGGACCGUACUGUACAUAGAGAAGAGCGACUCGUGGUUAGCAUAUUAUGUUGCUGGUUAUGUCGCACGAAAGUGUGUGUUAAAGACUUAAGUGUGAAGGUUGCAAGCAAACUUUGACAAUGCGAACCAGUGAGGAGGGCUCAGAAGUCACAGACUUCACGCGGCUCAGGGAUAAGGAAGCGCUAUCGUAUCCACGUGGGGCAUUGUUCUGCUUUGUUGAAACACUUGAGAACUUGUUCACAGAAUGCUUUAGCAAAAACAAGCUGCACUCUGAAAGCAUCCUGGAUGUACUGAGUUUGGCAAAGGUCAACUGCACGAACACAAUUGGUUGCAGCGAACGCGCGGCUGAACUAACAAGGAAGGUGGUCAGUUUCUACCUGGCAACUCGGCUGCACUUAUUUGUGAAAGGAGAAUGCAGAGAAGCGAGGUAACAAGGUGACAAUGAAACUCCGAAAGAUGAGUAGGUGCGCCUAAGUUAAAUAUGCAACAUGGGACAGGGGGUGCGGAUUGGCGUUUGGGAUGCUGCUUGGUUUCUGCAAGCUGUUAUGCAAUGUUUCCGCAAGAUGUGUGUGACAAUUAUGUUGUAUUUAUUACUGUAAAUAAAGUGUUUAUACAUGUUCUGCAAAAUG